Molecule: ribosomal RNA, 250 nt
Filed under: uncultured bacterium
Lineage: Bacteria
Description: partial 16S ribosomal RNA
Rfam family: Bacterial small subunit ribosomal RNA
Source: RNAcentral
UACGUAGGUGGCAAGCGUUGUCCGGAAUCACUGGGCGUAAAGCGCGCGCAGGCGGCGAUCUACGUCUGGGGUGAAAGCCCGGAGCUCAACUCCGGGACUGCCUUGGAUACGGGAUCGCUUGAGGAUUGGAGAGGCAAGGGGAAUUCCACGUGUAGCGGUGAAAUGCGUAGAGAUGUGGAGGAACACCUGUGGCGAAGGCGCCUUGCUGGCCAAUUUCUGACGCUGAGGCGCGAAAGCGUGGGGAGCAAAC